This 163-nucleotide unclassified non-coding RNA is filed under the name uncultured fungus. Its description in RNAcentral is "sequence contains ITS1, 5.8S rRNA gene". Lineage: Eukaryota; Fungi. The record is from RNAcentral.
AAGAGUCAUUAUGGGAUAAAACCCUAAUACUCCACCCUUUGUUUACAUUACCUUUGUUGCUUUGGCAGGCCCGUCUUCGGACCACCGGCUUCGGCUGGUCAGUGCCUGCCAGAGGACCCAAAACUCAUGUUUAAUAUAUUGUCCGAGUACUAUAUAAUAGUUA